Molecule: non-coding RNA, 964 nt
Filed under: Taterillus sp. PC2002
Lineage: Eukaryota; Metazoa; Chordata; Mammalia; Rodentia; Muridae
Source: RNAcentral
CAAAGGUUUGGUCCGGCCCUUUAAGUUAAUUCUAGGUAAGUUUACCCAUGCAAAUAUCCAUGACCCUGGGCCUAAUUCCUAAAGGUUCCUUCCAAAAUCCAAGGAAAUAGUAUCAAGCACAUAAAUCUAUAGCUCAUAACACUUAGCCAAGCCACGCCCCCACGGGAUUCAGCAGUGAUCAAAAUUUAGCAAUAAACGAAAGUUCGACUAAGCUAUACCUUAAAGAGUUGGUAAAUUUCGUGCCAGCCACCGCGGUCAUACGAUUAACUCAAAUUAACUACAUAUCGGCGUAAAACGUGUCAUUCAACUACUUUAAUAGAAUUAAAACCCAACAAAUGCGUAGAAGUUCAUCGUUCGGACCUAAACUCACCAACGAAGGUAAUUCUAAUAAAUCAACACACGAUAGCUAAGAUCCAAACUGGGAUUAGAUACCCCACUAUGCUUAGCCCUAAACAUAAAUAAUUACUUAACAAAAUUAUUUGCCAGAGAACUACUAGCCAAUGCUUAAAACUCAAAGGACUUGGCGGUGCUUUAUAUCCAUCUAGAGGAGCCUGUUCUAUAAUCGAUAACCCCCGUUCCACCUUACCAACUCUUGCCUAAUCAGCCUAUAUACCGCCAUCUUAAGUAAACCCUAAAAAGGAAUGAAAGUAAGCGAAAAUAUAAACAUAAAGACGUUAGGUCAAGGUGUAGCCAAUGAGUUGGAAAGCAAUGGGCUACAUUUUCUUAAAAAGAACAUUACGAUAUCUUUUAUGAAACCUAAAGGACCAAGGAGGAUUUAGUAGUAAAUUAAGAAUAGAGAGCUUAAUUGAAUAAGGCCAUUAAGCACGUACACACCGUCCGUCAACCCUCUUCAAAUAAUAAUAACAGACAUAAAUACAUAAUUUUAUUCUCUUCCAAUCCACAUUUAUAAGAAGGAGGUAAGUCGUAACAAGGUAAGCAUACUGGAAAGUGUGCUUGAACGAAC